This 414-nucleotide long non-coding RNA is filed under the name Cricetulus griseus (Chinese hamster). RNAcentral describes it as "lncRNA (ENSCGRG00015041603.1)". The record is from RNAcentral. Lineage: Eukaryota; Metazoa; Chordata; Mammalia; Rodentia; Cricetidae.
GGCAAAUGGAUGGAACUAGAAGAAACCAUCCUGAGUGAGGUAACCAAGACACAGAAGAAAAACAUGGUCAACAAUAAAUGUAUAGUUUCCUGAUGAGAAGGCAACAGUUGAAGGUCAUAGGUCUGCAUCUAUUUCCUAUUGAACAGCUUUGCUGGUCACAAAAGCACAGACCUCAGUUCUAUUGUUCUCAUCAUAACUCAAGUCACCACUUUCUCUUCAAAAGAUGUAAACCCAAGACUAUGGUGUUCUCCCCCAAACUCUGAACUUCACCAAGAAAUCAACUUUUGGGUUUUUGUUCCUUUGUUUUUUUCCUGGAUACUGGUUCUGAGUAUUCAGCUACGACAGUUUGGUAUACAUUGGAAUGGAAAUUAUAUGAGACAAUUAUCUAUGGUAAACUGCAAUCGCGAUGCUGCA